RNAcentral lists this non-coding RNA (322 nucleotides) under Clostridium chromiireducens. RNAcentral's name for it is "Clostridium chromoreductans Bacterial small subunit ribosomal RNA". It matches the Rfam family "Bacterial small subunit ribosomal RNA", at positions 1 to 322 of the family's 1533-position model. Lineage: Bacteria; Bacillati; Bacillota; Clostridia; Eubacteriales; Clostridiaceae. The record is from Rfam by way of RNAcentral.
UUUAUUGAGAGUUUGAUCCUGGCUCAGGACGAACGCUGGCGGCGUGCUUAACACAUGCAAGUCGAGCGAUGAAGUUCCUUCGGGAACGGAUUAGCGGCGGACGGGUGAGUAACACGUGGGUAACCUGCCUCAUAGAGGGGAAUAGCCUUUCGAAAGGAAGAUUAAUACCGCAUAAGAUUGUAGUUUCGCAUGAAACAGCAAUUAAAGGAGUAAUCCGCUAUGAGAUGGACCCGCGUCGCAUUAGCUAGUUGGUGAGGUAACGGCUCACCAAGGCGACGAUGCGUAGCCGACCUGAGAGGGUGAUCGGCCACAUUGGGACUGA